UGAGGAAUAUUGGUCAAUGGACGAGAGUCUGAACCAGCCAAGUAGCGUGAAGGAUGACUGCCCUAUGGGUUGUAAACUUCUUCUAUAUGGGAAUAAAGUAUUCCACGUGUGGGAUUUUGUAUGUACCAUAUGAAUAAGGAUCGGCUAACUCCGUGCCAGCAGCCGCGGUAAUACGGAGGAUCCGAGCGUUAUCCGGAUUUAUUGGGUUUAAAGGGAGCGUAGGUGGAUUGUUAAGUCAGUUGUGAAAGUUUGCGGCUCAACCGUAAAAUUGCAGUUGAAACUGGCAGUCUUGAGUACAGUAGAGGUGGGCGGAAUUCGUGGUGUAGCGGUGAAAUGCUUAGAUAUCACGAAGAACUCCGAUUGCGAAGGCAGCUCACUAGACUGCAACUGACACUGAUGCUCGAAAGUGUGGGUAUCAAACAGG
This 424-nucleotide ribosomal RNA is filed under the name uncultured bacterium. RNAcentral describes it as "bacterial SSU rRNA". It matches the Rfam family "Bacterial small subunit ribosomal RNA", at positions 355 to 776 of the family's 1533-position model. The record is from RNAcentral.